GGGUUGUGAGGUUAAGCGACUAAGCGUACACGGUGGAUGCCCUGGCAGUCAGAGGCGAUGAAGGACGUGCUAAUCUGCGAUAAGCGUCGGUGAGGUGAUAUGAACCGUUAUAACCGGCGAUUUCCGAAUGGGGAAACCCAGUGUGAUUCGUCACACUAUCAUUAACUGAAUCCAUAGGUUAAUGAGGCGAACCGGGGGAACUGAAACAUCUAAGUACCCCGAGGAAAAGAAAUCAACCGAGAUUCCCCCAGUAGCGGCGAGCGAACGGGGAGGAGCCCAGAGCCUGAAUCAGUGUGUGUGUUAGUGGAAGCGUCUGGAAAGGCGCGCGAUACAGGGUGACAGCCCCGUACACAAAAAUGCACACA
This 365-nucleotide ribosomal RNA is filed under the name Escherichia coli. RNAcentral's name for it is "partial 23S ribosomal RNA". It matches the Rfam family "Bacterial large subunit ribosomal RNA", at positions 1 to 393 of the family's 2925-position model. Lineage: Bacteria; Pseudomonadati; Pseudomonadota; Gammaproteobacteria; Enterobacterales; Enterobacteriaceae. The record is from RNAcentral.